UGGAAGGGGCAUGGGGAGAGAUUGGUAAUUCCUUCAUCUUUGUAAUGUGAAAAUGAUGGCUCUAUUUGGGAAGAUUCUAUCUAGCAGUUCUUUUCGGUGUUUAGGAAUCCUUACCAGAGAUCCAGAAAGAACAUCGCAAUCUGCUUCAAGAAUUAAAAGUUAUUCAAGAAAAUGAACAUGCUCUUCAAAAAGAUGCACUUAGUAUUAAGUUGAAACUUGAACAAAUAGAUGGUCACAUUGCUGAACAUAAUUCUAAAAUAAAAUAUUGGCACAAAGAGAUUUCAAAAAUAUCAUUGCAUCCUAUAGAAGAUAAUCCUAUUGAAGAGAUUUCAGUUCUAAGCCCAGAGGAUCUUGAAGCAAUCAAGAAUCCAGAUUCUAUAACAAAUCAAAUUGCACUUUUGGAAGCCCGGUGUCAUGAAAUGAAACCAAACCUUGGUGCCAUUGCAGAGUAUAAAAAGAAGGAAGAAUUGUAUUUGCAACGGGUAGCAGAAUUGGACAAAAUUACUUAUGAAAGAGACAAUUUUAGACAGGCAUAUGAAGAUCUUCGGAAACAAAGGCUUAAUGAAUUUAUGGCAGGUUUUUAUAUAAUAACAAAUAAAUUAAAGGAAAAUUACCAAAUGCU
Molecule: small RNA, 622 nt
Filed under: Pongo abelii (Sumatran orangutan)
Lineage: Eukaryota; Metazoa; Chordata; Mammalia; Primates; Hominidae
Description: retained intron
Source: RNAcentral